RNAcentral lists this ribosomal RNA (266 nucleotides) under uncultured prokaryote. RNAcentral's name for it is "partial 16S ribosomal RNA". It matches the Rfam family "Bacterial small subunit ribosomal RNA", at positions 524 to 789 of the family's 1533-position model. The record is from RNAcentral.
UACGUAGGUGGCAAGCGUUGUCCGGAUUUAUUGGGCGUAAAGGGAGCGCAGGCGGUGACUUAAGUCUGAUGUGAAAGCCCACGGCUCAACCGUGGAAGGUCAUUGGAAACUGGUCGACUUGAGUGCAGAAGAGGGAAGUGGAAUUCCAUGUGUAGCGGUGAAAUGCGUAGAGAUAUGGAGGAACACCAGUGGCGAAGGCGGCUUCCUGGUCUGUAACUGACACUGAGGCGCGAAAGCGUGGGGAGCAAACAGGAUUAGAUACCCCA